GAAUGCAAAUAAUUAUGCAGCAUCCAUAUAUUCAAAGCAUCGAUAGUGUAGCAACCCAAUUUCCAAGCUCCAAUCAUAUGUACAACAAUGCAAUAACAUAGGUUAACAACAACAAUAAUCCAGAUAAUUUGUAUAUACUGUCUGAUGCAGGAUCAAAAGUUCGACGUCCAUGAGGAUAAGGUAUGUAGAGUCUAUGGUUUCCUGCAAGAAAAACUCAUAUCCCC
This 224-nucleotide long non-coding RNA is filed under the name Lathyrus oleraceus (garden pea). Its description in RNAcentral is "Pisum sativum (pea) long non-coding RNA (PSAT_LNC012069)". The record is from RNAcentral. Lineage: Eukaryota; Viridiplantae; Streptophyta; Magnoliopsida; Fabales; Fabaceae.